Molecule: long non-coding RNA, 426 nt
Organism: Octopus sinensis (East Asian common octopus)
Lineage: Eukaryota; Metazoa; Mollusca; Cephalopoda; Octopoda; Octopodidae
Exons: 2
Source: RefSeq, a predicted model, not a curated record
UAAUGAUAUUUCUGCUUCAGCAACUCAGCUCUGAAUCUGUCUGAAAUGUAAUGGAAAGUAGCCAAUGUUGCAUUAGGGCACCGUUGCUUUGCCAUCAGAAGGAAGUCCUCAGACAGAAGCUUGAUCGGACAACCCACAACUUCAUGAAGGAAGUAAAAACAUUCCUGCUGGCUUGGAUGCACCGUGUUAUACCCCUCCCGAGGCAAUCCGAAAACUUAAUGCGUGGAUGCCCAUCAACGUCUACCCCUGACUGUCUUCGUGUCCAAACGUUUUUAUCCCACACAAAGUAGGAUGGCAGUUGCGGAUAAAUAAGAUACUUUGCAAAUGUAUCAGUUUGACACAACUUAAAAAAAAACUGUAACGAUUGUUUCCUUUGACCGGGUAGCCAAUUGAGCAGAAUUGUGCUCAGAAAAGUAUACACGCUGA